This 253-nucleotide ribosomal RNA is filed under the name uncultured microorganism. RNAcentral's name for it is "partial 16S ribosomal RNA". It matches the Rfam family "Bacterial small subunit ribosomal RNA", at positions 524 to 776 of the family's 1533-position model. The record is from RNAcentral.
UACGUAGGGUGCGAGCGUUAAUCGGAUUUACUGGGCGUAAAGCGUGCGCAGGCGGCCCGUUAAGACAGGUGUGAAAUCCCUGGGCUCAACCCUGGAAGGGCACUGGAAACUGUCUGGCUUGAGUUCCGGAGAGGAGGGGGGAAUUCCUGGUGUAGCAGUGAAAUGCGUAGAGAUCAGGAGGAACACCGAUGGCGAAGGCAGCCCCCUGGGCCUGUACUGACGCUCAUGCACGAAAGCGUGGGGAGCAAACAGG